This is a long non-coding RNA of Bombus huntii, 1489 nucleotides long. RefSeq lists it as uncharacterized. The transcript is spliced from 2 exons. The record is from RefSeq and is a predicted model, not a curated record. Lineage: Eukaryota; Metazoa; Arthropoda; Insecta; Hymenoptera; Apidae.
CAUGCGGUGGAUGGAUAAUAUGCAAAAAAUAUUAAGCAGUAUAUGAAUUUUCGUAUUGCGUAGAGAUAACAAAAUGAAUUUUAAAAAAUGUCGACACGGUAAUAAGAAAUAGCAUCAUGACAAAGAAUAUAUAAAGACAGUUUCAUUUUUUAUAAAUAAAAAUUUGUUGUUCCAGAUUUUGAAAUACAGUGAAACGUUUAAUUAGUAUCUUAAUAUCUUUAAAUAAUUAUUAUUUUAGAAUCAAUUGUAAUUGUAUCAUACGUACUUUUGAAUUCGUGCAAGAACAUAUGUAAUUUUGAAGUAGUUAUUAUUAGGAAACUGUUAGACGCGAACAGUAUGCGGAAAGUUAGUAUGCAGUGUAAUAAUUAUCAAUCAAAACACAAGAAUUAAAUUCUUGAGGAAAAAAUUUCCGGAAUUUCUUAUUUACAUGAUUAUAAAGAAAUCCAUAAUAAAAAGGAGCUGCUUUCUAAUACUUCUCUUCCUUGUAAUGCCUAUGUUAAUAAUAACGAGGUUCGACUUUUUGUUUUUAGAGGGAUACUGGAAAAUUUGAAAGUACAGUACCAUUGGGAAGAAAAUCACGAUAUUGAAAACGAUAUUUGCAAAUUGAACAAUAUUCCAGAUUUAUUCAUAAUUUCAUACUACGCGAAGAAUAGACUUUCAUAGGUAUAUAAAGGAAAUAUUAAGUAUAGGAAAACUCUUUUUCGUUGUAGGUGACAUAUGCUUCACGGUUGAACACAUGUAUUUUUGAACACAUAUAAAUGAAAAAGUACUCUUAUGGAGAAAAAGAAUUGAUACCUUCGAUUGACAUUAGAUAAUGUAUAUAAACUUAUGAACAAUCACUAUCAGUUUGUAUUUUAGGUGCACACGCAGAUUUGUUGGAGUUCUUAUAAAAUGUACUUCCUGUACGAACGUUUUAUUCUUCCAAAUUUUACGAUACUAUGUCUCAUAUAAUAACUAUAUGGAUUAAACGUAAUAUAAAUGAUCCGAAAAUAGACUCGAACGACAUUAAUUGUCUUUCUAUUUAUACCAAUAUCGAAAAUACAAGUAAAGCUGGAGCAAUAGUAUGCAAGAAUGGACUAUUUAUUAUUUUAAACCAAAUCAUAGCAUAUUCAGAAUGCACAGUAUUAUCAUGAAAUGUAAAUGAAUCAGUUGUAAACGAACGAUUUUACUGUAAAAUCGUUGCCUCCUUUUUUUCAUCUGAAAUAUAGCAGCAAUGAGUACAUUCUUUUAAUAUAUAAUAAAACGAGAUAUCUUUAUAAAGUUACAUAUGUCAUCACUGGUAACUGUUAUCUCGUAUGACACCAAAUAUACCGUUAGUAUGGAAUGAUAUUUUUAUGAAGAUAUACUUUAAUGAUAGGUUUUAUGAAUGAAACGUUAUAUAAGAAAAAUUAUCUCUUGUUAUUCUAUGAAGUGUAGUAGCUAAUGAAGAUUAAUUUUACGAAGUAUUAGAGCAAAAGAGAAUUAAAAAAUUAAAAAGAUCUAAAUAAGA